UAUACUUUAGUAUGUGAUGUAUCUUAAUUUUUGAUAUUAAGGGGGAUGGUUUAAUUCUAUCAAGUAUAA
This 69-nucleotide transfer RNA is filed under the name Sphaeroderma rubidum. RNAcentral's name for it is "tRNA-Gln". Lineage: Eukaryota; Metazoa; Arthropoda; Insecta; Coleoptera; Chrysomelidae. The record is from RNAcentral.